GAGAUAGAAAUAAGAACU
Molecule: microRNA, 18 nt
Filed under: Ornithorhynchus anatinus (platypus)
Lineage: Eukaryota; Metazoa; Chordata; Mammalia; Monotremata; Ornithorhynchidae
Description: oan-miR-1411
Source: miRBase by way of RNAcentral